RNAcentral lists this transfer RNA (76 nucleotides) under Candidatus Roizmanbacteria bacterium RIFCSPHIGHO2_01_FULL_39_12b. RNAcentral describes it as "tRNA-Met". It matches the Rfam family "tRNA". From Rfam's summary of the family: Transfer RNA (tRNA) molecules are approximately 80 nucleotides in length. Their secondary structure includes four short double-helical elements and three loops (D, anti-codon, and T loops). The record is from RNAcentral. RNAcentral also lists the same sequence under 1 other name. Lineage: Bacteria; Candidatus Roizmaniibacteriota.
GGCUGGGUAGCUCAGUGGUUAGAGCAUUCGUUUCAUAAGCGAGAGGUCGGGAGUUCGAUCCUCCCCCCAGCCACAA